Poecilia latipinna (sailfin molly) is the source of this 1783-nucleotide long non-coding RNA. RefSeq lists it as uncharacterized. Lineage: Eukaryota; Metazoa; Chordata; Actinopteri; Cyprinodontiformes; Poeciliidae. The record is from RefSeq and is a predicted model, not a curated record. The transcript has 2 exons.
UUUUUAUUUUUUUUAUUGCUUUAUUCUCAUGUAUUUUCCACAUAGACAGCAAUAAGAUCUUUAUCACUCAUCCUUCUGUGCUUCUCCUGCACACUGUUCCAGACACUUUGUCCUGAGAAAUAAGCAAAGCACCUUUACUAUUAUUACACCCAUCUGUAGGAGUGAGAGAGGAUGUUCCUGUUUGUCUAAGGAAAACUUUCCAAUGUUGAAGACAGGUGGUUUCUUUCUAUUUGGGGGAAGGAGCAAACUUCCCAGCUCAUUUCUGAAUUAGUUUUAAGUUUGUUUAAAAAUCAGACUUUCACUCAAACAGAUGCAGCUCACAAAAUGUGUUCUUCACCGGUCUUAGUGAUACAUCUGUCCCUUCAUUCAUAUCCCCACAAAUCCAAACUAUUGUAAAGCCAAGACGCCCAUUACCAAACGGUAAAGCAGGUCCAUUAUGUAGUGCAGUUGUGGUACUGAACAGCAUGCAAUAACUGCAUUCACAUUUUGAAAUGUAAUGAUAUUGAUCGAUACUGCCAUGGAACCAACAGCUCAAACAGCAAUAGUAACAACUGCAAUUAUAUUAUUUAUAGUUUUUGCAAACAUAAUCAAGUUUAUCCUUAUGACCAUAAGUAAGUUUUUGUCAAUCAUUUUCCCCAGUUAUCAUAAGCAGUAUGAUAAUUAUCCAUCCCAGCUAGCUGCUGUACACUUCAGGCUAUUUUGAGCUGUUAAUGGUGAAUUCUAUAAAUGUCCAUUGAGCCUUCAAUAUGAACUAAUUGAAGAAUAUACAAAUGAAUGCACAGAACAAGCUGGACUUUAUUUAAGCCUGUACUCAAAGAGAAAUUAGAUUUGAUGUUUGAAAUCACUUUUGUGUAUUAAACAGAAUAAAGAUGUGACUUUAUGUUCAUUGCCAUACUGUGAGCCGUCACUCUCCCUUCUGUUUUAGAGCAACACUGAAGAAAACACACAUCCAUUAUUCUGUAUUUAUAUGUUAAAGAAGAUAUAUAGACAUAUAUUCAGCAUAUACACAUACAUAUAUCGGUCAGUCUGACCUAUAGGAAAUCUUUGUCUUUGAUAUGUCACAUUUUGAUCAAAACCUAACUUUUACAAACAGGGGUUUGUGCCUAUUGAUUUGAUCAGUUCUCUUUAUUAAUAGGUUAUAAAGAGUAUUGGAGAAUAUUCCAAUGCUCUAUUCCAAUGCUCUGUUCCACAGAUCAGAAGUCAUUUGUUAAUAUUUCAGAUUUAAGGCAGCGUUUCUGAGAUCAUAAUCCAACGUUAUUCUUUCUUAGCCUGAUCCCUGUCACCCGCUCAUUCCAGAACCAAAAUGACUGGUAAUACGUUUUCCAACAUAAUAAAGUAAUCACAAUCCUAAAGACCUGCAGACAUUGGCCUCCUUUCCACUGACAUGGCCUAACCUGUAAAUAAUCUAAUAAUGUUUCAUUUAGUAUGAAGAAAGUAUUUAUUUUAGAUCUGGAAUUUCUUUUUUUUUUUCCUUGUGUAAUAUUUUGGAUUCAGUACAAAAUUAUUGUGCAUGUUUUUUUGUUAAUAUUCUGCUUGCCUUUUAAUUUUAGCUAAAUUGUAUUUUUUGACUAUCUUUUCGAUGCCUUUUGAGACAAAGACCUGGUUAAGAUCAGAUCCAAGCUUUGACAAACAUGGAUGGAAUCAACCUGGCUGGUUGAAGUAGUAAUGAUUUGAUUCACUGUACUGUUAACAGUCACAGAUAUGUUUUUUCUAACAUUUUAACAGUUAUGAUUACAAAUACUUUGUAUAUCUUUAUUGCAAUAAAUGAAUCAAAUGAAAUCUG